RNAcentral lists this transfer RNA (72 nucleotides) under Paraliobacillus quinghaiensis. It matches the Rfam family "tRNA". Rfam says of the family: Transfer RNA (tRNA) molecules are approximately 80 nucleotides in length. RNAcentral also lists the same sequence under 9 other names. The record is from Rfam by way of RNAcentral. Lineage: Bacteria; Bacillati; Bacillota; Bacilli; Caryophanales; Bacillaceae.
GCUUCCAUAGCUCAGCGGUAGAGCACUUCCAUGGUAAGGAAGGGGUCGCCGGUUCAAGUCCGGCUGGAAGCU